UCCCUCUCAGAGUCACACCUGGAGGGUUUCCAGUACUCUACCAGCCUCGACUAUGGGAGGGAAAGUCAACAAAGGCAUAUCUAUUCCACUACUAGCUUGGGCAGUGGCUAGCAAGUGGAAGACAAUCUGCUACAAAU
Ornithorhynchus anatinus (platypus) is the source of this 137-nucleotide non-coding RNA. The record is from Rfam. NCBI's taxonomy places the organism in Eukaryota, Metazoa, Chordata, Mammalia, Monotremata, Ornithorhynchidae.